GUUGGAGCACUAAAGGAGCAAAGGCAUGUCCAGUUUGUGCUAAGGAUACUUGCUCUAUCCGAUUGAAAUAUGGGAGAAAAAAAUAUUUUAUAGGAUAUUUCAGAUUCUUACCUAAUGGUCACCCUUUGCGCAAAAAAAUGAGUCGAUUGCCCCAUUUGAAGAAAUUUGUCAAUCCACCACAUCCAUUGUCUGGAGAAAAGGUGUUACAG
RNAcentral lists this long non-coding RNA (209 nucleotides) under Elaeis guineensis (African oil palm). Its description in RNAcentral is "long non-coding RNA (EGUI_LNC029344)". Lineage: Eukaryota; Viridiplantae; Streptophyta; Magnoliopsida; Arecales; Arecaceae. The record is from RNAcentral.